AACGUACGCUGGCGGCACGCCUAAUACAUGCAAGUCGAACGAAGUAGCAAUACUUAGUGGCGCAAGGGUGAGUAUCACGUGAAUAAUCUGCCCUCGAGAUCGGGAUAACAUGGUGAAAACUAUGCUAAUACCGGAUAAGACCACAUUUCAAAAGAAAUGCGGUAAAAGGAGUCUCAAUCUUCACUCGAGGAUGAGUUCGCGCAACAUUAGCUUGUUGGUGAGAUAAAAGCUCACCAAGGCUACGAUGUUUAGCCGGCCUGAGAGGGUGAACGGCCACACUGGAACUGAGACACGGUCCAGACUCCUACGGGAGGCAGCAGUGGGGAAUAUUGCGCAAUGGGCGAAAGCCUGACGCAGCAACGCCGUGUGAGCGAUG
This 376-nucleotide ribosomal RNA is filed under the name uncultured Nitrospina sp. RNAcentral describes it as "bacterial SSU rRNA". It matches the Rfam family "Bacterial small subunit ribosomal RNA", at positions 29 to 410 of the family's 1533-position model. The record is from RNAcentral. Lineage: Bacteria; Pseudomonadati; Nitrospinota; Nitrospinia; Nitrospinales; Nitrospinaceae.